UACGAAGGGGGCUAGCGUUGCUCGGAAUCACUGGGCGUAAAGGGUGCGUAGGCGGGGCUUUAAGUCAGAGGUGAAAUCCUGGAGCUCAACUCCAGAACUGCCUUUGAUACUGAAGAUCUUGAGUUCGGGAGAGGUGAGUGGAACUGCGAGUGUAGAGGUGAAAUUCGUAGAUAUUCGCAAGAACACCAGUGGCGAAGGCGGCUCACUGGCCCGAUACUGACGCUGAGGCACGAAAGCGUGGGGAGCAAACAGG
This 253-nucleotide ribosomal RNA is filed under the name uncultured bacterium. RNAcentral's name for it is "partial 16S ribosomal RNA". It matches the Rfam family "Bacterial small subunit ribosomal RNA", at positions 524 to 776 of the family's 1533-position model. The record is from RNAcentral.